AGGUCAAGCUACAAAGGGCUCACGGUGGAUACCUAGGCACGCAGAGGCGAAGAAGGACGUGGCUACCGACGAUACGCUCCGGGGAGCAGGAAGCAUGCAUUGAGCCGGAGAUUUCCGAAUGGGGCAACCCAGGAUACGGCCAUCUGAAUCUAUAGGAUGGUGCGAGCGAACGCAGCGAACUGAAACAUCUUAGUAGCUGUAGGAAGAGAAAGAAACCCUCGAUUCCCCUAGUAGCGGCGAGCGAAGCGGGAAGAGCCUAAACCAAUGAUUUAUAUCGUUGGGGUUGUGGGACAGCGACAUGGUAUUUGGCGGCUAGACGAAGCAUUUGAGAGAUGCACCAGAGAAGGUGAGAGUCCUGUAGUCGAAAGCUUAAGAAACCUAGCUGAAUCCCGAGUAGCACGGGUCACGAGAAAUCCCGUGUGAAUCCGCGAGGACCACCUCGUAAGGCUAAAUACUCCUGCGUGACCGAUAGUGAACAGUACCGCGAGGGAAAGGUGAAAAGAACCCCGGGAGGGGAGUGAAAUAGAACAUGAAACCGUGAGCUUACAAGCAGUCAGAGCUCGAUUAAACGAGUGAUGGCGUGCCUGUUGAAGAAUGAGCCGGCGACUUAUAGGCACUGGCAGGUUAAGGCGGGAAUGCCGAAGCCAGAGGGAAACCGAGUCUGAAUAGGGCGUUAUGUCAGUGUUUAUAGACCCGAACCCGGGUGAUCUAACCAUGUCCAGGCUGAAGCUUAGGUGACACUAAGUGGAGGGCCGAACCGACUGGCGUUGAAAAGCCAGCGGAUGAGGUGUGGUUAGGGGUGAAAUGCCAAUCGAACCCGGAGCUAGCUGGUUCUCCCCGAAAUGUGUUGAGGCGCAGCGGUCGCGACUAUAGCUGGGGGGUAAAGCACUGAUUCGGUGCGGGCUGCGAGAGCGGUACCAAAUCGAGUCAAACUCUGAAUACCCAGUGAACACGCGGCCAGUGAGACGGUGGGGGAUAAGCUUCAUCGUCAAGAGGGAAACAGCCCAGACCACCAGCUAAGGUCCCCAAAUGAACACUAAGUGGCAAAGGAGGUGAGAGUGCAUAGACAACCAGGAGGUUUGCCUAGAAGCAGCCAUCCUUGAAAGAGUGCGUAAUAGCUCACUGGUCAAGCGCUCUUGCGCCAAAAAAUGAACGGGACUAAGUGUUCUACCGAAGCUGUGGACUUACAUUGUUAAGUGGUAGGGGAGCGUUCUACAUGCAUCGAAGCAUUAGCGAAAGCAGGUGUGGAGUGUGUAGAAGUGAGAAUGUCGGCUUGAGUAGCGAAAACGUGUGUGAGAAUCACACGCCCCGAAACCCUAAGGGUUCCUCCGGAAGGCUCGUCCACGGAGGGUUAGUCGGGACCUAAGGCGAGGCCGAAAGGCGUAGUCGAUGGACACAGGGUUAAUAUUCCCUGACUACUGAUUGGGAGCGUUGAGGGGACGCAUGACAACUAGCCAUACCCUGAAUGGAUUGGGAGGGGGUUACGACCCCUGCAUGGUGAACGAUAGUGCCAAGAAAAGCCAAAAACGUGUUGAGCAAUCAGUACCCGUACCCGAAACCGACACAGGUAGGGGAGGUUGAGAAUACCAAGGGGCGCGAGGUAACUCUCUCUAAGGAACUCGGCAAAAUGGCCCCGUAACUUCGGGAGAAGGGGUGCCCCCCUGCGAGGGGGGGGGGCCGCAGUGAAGAGUCCCAGGCGACUGUUUACCAAAAACACAGGUCUCUGCAAACUCGUAAGAGGACGUAUAGGGGCUGACGCCUGCCCAGUGCCGGAAGGUUAAGGAAGUUGGUCAGUCUUCGGAUGAAGCUAACGACUGAAGCCCCGGUGAACGGCGGCCGUAACUAUAACGGUCCUAAGGUAGCGAAAUUCCUUGUCGGGUAAGUUCCGACCCGCACGAAAGGCGUAACGAUCUGGGAGCUGUCUCGGAGAGAGGCUCGGCGAAAUAGGAUUGUCUGUGAAGAUACGGACUACCUGCACCUGGACAGAAAGACCCUAUGAAGCUUUACUGUAGCCUGGAAUUGGGUUCGGGCUUUGACUGCGCAGGAUAGGUGGGAGACUGUGAGCGAUUCCUUGUGGGGAAUCGUGAGUCACUGGUGAGAUACCACUCUGUCAAGGCUAGAAUUCUAACCUGCAGCCGUUAGCCGGCGCGGGAACAGUUUCAGGUGGGCAGUUUGACUGGGGCGGUCGCCUCCUAAAUGGUAACGGAGGCGCGCAAAGGUUCCCUCAGGCUGGUUGGAAAUCAGCCAUUGAGUGUAAAGGCAUAAGGGAGCUUGACUGCAAGACUGACAAGUCGAGCAGGGACGAAAGUCGGCCUUAGUGAUCCGACGGUUCUGAGUGGAAGGGCCGUCGCUCAACGGAUAAAAGUUACUCUAGGGAUAACAGGCUGAUCUCCCCCAAGAGUUCACAUCGACGGGGAGGUUUGGCACCUCGAUGUCGGCUCGUCGCAACCUGGGGCUGGAGUAGGUCCCAAGGGUUGGGCUGUUCGCCCAUUAAAGCGGCACGCGAGCUGGGUUCAGAACGUCGUGAGACAGUUCGGUCCAUAUCCGGUGUAGGCGUAGGAGUAUUGAGGGGAGUCCUUCUUAGUACGAGAGGACCGGAAGGAACGCACCGCUGGUGUACCUGUUAUCGUGCCAACGGUAAACGCAGGGUAGCUAUGUGCGGAGUGGAUAACCGCUGAAAGCAUCUAAGUGGGAAGCCCACCCCAAGAUGAGUACUCCCAUGGGGUAACCCAGUAAGGUCACGGGAAGACCACCCGUUAAUAGGUGCUAUGUGGAAGCGUGGCAACAUGUGAAGCAGAGGCAUACUAACAGACCGAGGGCUUGUCCUU
RNAcentral lists this ribosomal RNA (2828 nucleotides) under Leptolyngbya sp. SIOISBB. RNAcentral's name for it is "23S ribosomal RNA". It matches the Rfam family "Bacterial large subunit ribosomal RNA". Lineage: Bacteria; Bacillati; Cyanobacteriota; Cyanophyceae; Leptolyngbyales; Leptolyngbyaceae. The record is from RNAcentral.